This 433-nucleotide ribosomal RNA is filed under the name uncultured bacterium. Its description in RNAcentral is "partial 16S ribosomal RNA". It matches the Rfam family "Bacterial small subunit ribosomal RNA", at positions 29 to 507 of the family's 1533-position model. The record is from RNAcentral.
AACGAACGCUGGCGGCAGGCCUAACACAUGCAAGUCGAGCGACGACUUCGGUCCUAGCGGCGGACGGGUGAGUAACGCGUGGGAACGUGCCCUUUGCUUCGGAAUACCCCUGGGACACUGGGAGUAAUACCGGAUGAGCCCUUUUGGGGAAAGAUUUAUCGGCGAAGGAUCGGCCCGCGUUGGAUUAGGUAGUUGGUGGGGUAAUGGCCUACCAAGCCGACGAUCCAUAGCUGGUUUGAGAGGAUGAGCAGCCACACUGGGACUGAGACACGGCCCAGACUCCUACGGGAGGCAGCAGUGGGGAAUCUUAGACAAUGGGGGAAACCCUGAUCUAGCCAUGCCGCGUGAGCGAUGAAGGCCUUAGGGUUGUAAAGCUCUUUCAGCUGGGAAGAUAAUGACGGUACCAGCAGAAGAAGCCCCGGCUAACUCCGUG